CCUACACAUGCAAGUCGAACGAAGUAGCAAUACUUAGUGGCAGACGGGUGAGUAACAUGUAGGUAUCUGCCCUUUGGCCUGGAAUAACACGAGGAAACUUGUGCUAAUACCGGAUAAGUCUUUACGGAGAAAGCUUUAUGCACCAUUGGAUGAGCCUGCACUUGAUUAGUUUGUUGGUGGGGUAAUGGCCUACCAAGACUGUGAUCAAUAGCUGAUUUGAGAGGAUGAUCAGCCACAUUGGGACUGAGACACGGCCCAAACUCCUACGGGAGGCAGCAGUGGGGAAUCUUGCACAAUGGAGGAAACUCUGAUGCAGCGAUGCCGCGUGAGUGAAGAAGGCCCUUGGGUUGUAAAGCUCUUUCGUCGGGGAAGAAAAUGACUGUACCCGAAUAAGAAGGUCCGGCUAACUUCGUGCCAGCAGCCGCGGUAAUACGAAGGGACCUAGCGUAGUUCGGAAUUACUGGGCUUAAAGAGUUCGUAGGUGGUUGAAAAAGUUAGUGGUGAAAUCCCAGAGCUUAACUCUGGAACUGCCAUUAAAACUUUUCAGCUAGAGUAUGAUAGAGGAAAGCAGAAUUUCUAGUGUAGAGGUGAAAUUCGUAGAUAUUAGAAAGAAUACCAAUUGCGAAGGCAGCUUUCUGGAUCAUUACUGACACUGAGGAACGAAAGCAUGGGUAGCGAAGAGGAUUAGAUACCCUCGUAGUCCAUGCCGUAAACGAUGUGUGUUAGACGUUGGAGAUUUAUUUUCAGUGUCGCAGCGAAAGCGAUAAACACACCGCCUGGGGAGUACGACCGCAAGGUUAAAACUCAAAGGAAUUGACGGGGGCCCGCACAAGCGGUGGAUUAUGUGGUUUAAUUCGAAGCAACGCGCAGAACCUUACCCAGGCUUGAAAUCCUGAGAAUCCUCCCGAAA
RNAcentral lists this ribosomal RNA (910 nucleotides) under uncultured Alphaproteobacteria bacterium. Its description in RNAcentral is "bacterial SSU rRNA". It matches the Rfam family "Bacterial small subunit ribosomal RNA", at positions 48 to 1006 of the family's 1533-position model. The record is from RNAcentral. Lineage: Bacteria; Pseudomonadati; Pseudomonadota; Alphaproteobacteria.